UGGGGAAUCUUCCGCAAUGGACGAAAGUCUGACGGAGCAACGCCGCGUGUAUGAUGAAGGUCUUCGGAUUGUAAAGUACUGUCUUUGGGGAAGAAUGGUCUCUUUGAGAAUAUUGAGGAGACAUGACGGUACCCAAGGAGGAAGCCCCGGCUAACUACGUGCCAGCAGCCGCGGUAAUACGUAGGGGGCAAGCGUUGUCCGGAAUUAUUGGGCGUAAAGGGCGCGUAGGCGGAUAGUUAAGUCCGGUGUGAAAGAUCAGGGCUCAACCCUGAGAGUGCAUCGGAAACUGGUUAUCUUGAGGACAGGAGAGGAAAGUGGAAUUCCACGUGUAGCGGUGAAAUGCGUAGAUAUGUGGAGGAACACCAGUGGCGAAGGCGACUUUCUGGACUGUAACUGACGCUGAGGCGCGAAAGCGUGGGGAGCAAACA
RNAcentral lists this ribosomal RNA (428 nucleotides) under uncultured Desulfosporosinus sp. RNAcentral describes it as "partial 16S ribosomal RNA". It matches the Rfam family "Bacterial small subunit ribosomal RNA", at positions 355 to 774 of the family's 1533-position model. Lineage: Bacteria; Bacillati; Bacillota; Clostridia; Eubacteriales; Desulfitobacteriaceae. The record is from RNAcentral.